RNAcentral lists this ribosomal RNA (503 nucleotides) under uncultured bacterium. Its description in RNAcentral is "bacterial SSU rRNA". It matches the Rfam family "Bacterial small subunit ribosomal RNA", at positions 29 to 521 of the family's 1533-position model. The record is from RNAcentral.
AACGAACGCUGGCGGCGCGCUUAACACAUGCAAGUCGAACGAGAAGGCGUAGCAAUACGCUUGUACAGUGGCGAACGGGUGAGGAAUACAUGGGUAACCUACCCUCGAGUGGGGGAUAACCCGCCGAAAGGCGGGCUAAUACCGCGUACGCUUCCGAUCUUGCGGGAUCGGAAGGAAAGCUGUCCCUUGGGGAUGGCGCUCAAGGAUGGGCUCAUGUCCUAUCAGCUUGUUGGAGGGUAACGGCCUACCAAGGCAUCGACGGGUAGCUGGUCUGAGAGGACGAUCAGCCACACUGGCACUGCGACACGGGCCAGACUCCUACGGGAGGCAGCAGUGAGGAAUAUUGCGCAAUGGGCGAAAGCCUGACGCAGCGACGCCGCGUGGGGGAUGAAGGUCUUCGGAUUGUAAACCCCUUUCGGGAGGGAAGACGGCCUUAGACAACUAAGGCGGACGGUACCUCCAGAAGCAGCCACGGCUAACUUCGUGCCAGCAGCAGCCGCGGU